Long non-coding RNA from Tigriopus californicus, 1449 nucleotides. RefSeq lists it as uncharacterized. NCBI's taxonomy places the organism in Eukaryota, Metazoa, Arthropoda, Copepoda, Harpacticoida, Harpacticidae. The record is from RefSeq and is a predicted model, not a curated record. The transcript is spliced from 3 exons.
GCGAGCUCUGUGCAGCUGACUUUUCAAAUGGGGAUGGGCCCCUCGUUUUCUCUCACUUUGACAGCCAGCAUUACGACGGAGCACAACCCUAUCCAAUGUGAAAGUCACGUGCCUCACUCAUCAACAUCUCUCAUCAGAAAGUAUUUCCACCACUUUGAUGAUGAUCAUCAUCAUCAUGAUCUGCAUGGCGACAGCUACUACUACGGACACACAGUACCUUAGCUGUAUCAUCAUCCUUUCACGGACUACUGAAGGGACGACUAAAGGACCCCGUCAUUGGAUCUGCAGAGACUUUGCUCCACUUUCCAGUUCAAGCACAACACUAUUUUGUAGAGAAGUACACACUUUGCAAGUAACGACCAAGAAGAGGAUCGCCAAGAAUGAAAGAGCAGGAGGAAAGGAAAUGGAACAAGAUCAGGAAGAUGAGGAAAAGGAGGCGAAAAAGGCGGAUGAAGAGGAACGGGCGAAGAAGGAAGGGACGGAAGAAGAAGAAGAAGAAGGGGCGUUGGAGAGGACGGGAAGAUAUGGAAGAGGAGCAGGAGAUGACGGCGCCGCAAAGGAAUUAAUCUGAUGUUCUCUCAUUUGGACCACGAAUUCCACUCGUCGCAAUAUCAUGCAUACAACUCCACCAUAUGUACUACCAAACAGGAGGGUACAAUAUGUGUUGAAGCAGGAACGUUGAGCAAGUCCGCCCCUCAGAGACGAAGUUACAGAAUUGUGACACACUCUUCUCUUCAUUUUAGCUCGUCUUGAAUGGAUUGUUCAUUAUGCGAAAAGCGAACUCGACGAAAGAAAAAGGAGGAGGAGGAGGAGGAGGAGGAGGAGAGAGAGGUUUUAUGCUGAACAACCAACCGGGAACAUCAUCACAACCAACGCCGCCACCGCCAUCGUCAUCAUCAUGAAAGAGGAGUUGGCCCUUAUAAUUAAACGGAAUGGAAAUCGUUGAAGAAGGCGAGAAAAUUAGCAGUUUAGCUCAACACCCAAAAUGCAUACUAAUGAGAUGAGCACCCAUCAGCAACAAGUCAUAUUGUCCUUGAAGUUGUUGGAGGGAAAAGACUCAUCCCCUUCUUUGAUAUGAGACGCUAGAGUUUGGUCAGUGACACAUCCACACACGAUGAAACAACCACCCCAGGAAAAAAAUCGAUGCACUUUCAAAAUCGAUCGUUGAAAUAAUGGAGCAAAGGGAAGAUGUCCCUUUUACUUUAUUGUAGUCGACAGCAGGGCGCACUCUACGUACGUAUGAUGAGGGAAGGGGAGUGGAAAUUGUCUUUUUUUUCUUCCUCUUCUUCUUCCAGUUCCAUUGCUUAUACUUCUGGUUCCAUCUCGCGAGUUGGUCCAUCUUGAACCAACGUUAGGAGCUACACCAGACACCACGACGCUUAUCUCAAAUUCUCGUUAAAAUUUCCCCAUCCAAGUUUGCCUACACCACCCAAGAGACAACGACUCAUU